Molecule: ribosomal RNA, 1026 nt
Filed under: uncultured Veillonella sp.
Lineage: Bacteria; Bacillati; Bacillota; Negativicutes; Veillonellales; Veillonellaceae
Description: bacterial SSU rRNA
Rfam family: Bacterial small subunit ribosomal RNA
Source: RNAcentral
UGGCGGCGUGCUACACAUGCAGUCGAACGAAGAGCGAUGGAAGCUUGCUUCUAUCAAUCUUAAUGGCGAACGGGUGAGUAACGCGUAAUCAACCUGCCCUUCAGAGGGGGACAACAGUUGGAAACGACUGCUAAUACCGCAUACGAUCUAAGCUCAGCAUCGAGGAUAGAUGAAACGUGGCCUCUACAUGUAAGCUAUCACUGAAGGAGGGGAUUGCGUCUGAUUAGCUAACUGGAGGGGUAACGGCCCACCAAGGCGAUGAUCAGUACCCGCUCUGAGAGGAUGAACGGCCACAUUGAGACUGACACACGGCCCAGACUCCUACUGGAGGCAACAGUGGGGAAUCUUCCGCAAUGGACGAAACUCUGACGGAGCAACGCCGCGUGAGUGAUGACAGUCUUCGGGUUGUAAAACUCUGUUAAUCGGGACGAAAGGCCUUCUUGCGAAUACUGAGAAAGAUUGACCGUACCGGAAUAUAAAGCCACCGCUAACUACAUGCCAGCAGCCACGGUAAUACGUAAGUGGCGAGCGUUGUCCGGAAUUAUUGGGCGUAAAGCGCGCGCUGGCAGAUCCGUCAGUCUGUCUUAAAAACUCCGGGCUUAACCCCGUGAUGAGAUGGAAACUGCCGAUCUAGAGUAUCCGAGAGGAAAAUGGAAUUCCUAAUGUAUCGGUGAAAUGCCUAGAUAUUAAGAAGAACACCAGUGGAGAAAGCGACUUUCUGGACCAAAACUGACGCUGAGGCGCGAGAUCCAAGGCACCGAACGGGAUUACAUACCCCGAUAUCCCUGACCUGAAACGAUGGGUACUAGGUGUAUGACGUAUCUACCCCUUCUGAGCCAGAGUUAACGCCAUAAGUACCCCACAUGGAGAGUACGACCGACAAGAUGGAAACUCACACGAAUUGACGGAUGGCCCGGCCAAACUGUGAAACAAGUGGAAUAAAUUCAACCCGACCCUGAACAAGCCUUAGCAAGGUCUUGAACAUUGAUGGGACGGAAUCUAAAAAUCGUUCCUCCUUGUUCUGAA